RNAcentral lists this ribosomal RNA (497 nucleotides) under uncultured bacterium. RNAcentral's name for it is "partial 16S ribosomal RNA". It matches the Rfam family "Bacterial small subunit ribosomal RNA", at positions 28 to 507 of the family's 1533-position model. The record is from RNAcentral.
GAUGAACGCUGGCGGCGUGCCUAAUACAUGCAAGUCGAGCGAACGGACGAGAAGCUUGCUUCUCUGAUGUUAGCGGCGGACGGGUGAGUAACACGUGGAUAACCUACCUAUAAGACUGGGAUAACUUCGGGAAACCGGAGCUAAUACCGGAUAAUAUUUUGAUCCGCAUGGUUCAAAAGUGAAAGACGGUCUUGCUGUCACUUAUAGAUGGAUCCGCGCUGCAUUAGCUAGUUGGUAAGGUAACGGCUUACCAAGGCAACGAUGCAUAGCCGACCUGAGAGGGUGAUCGGCCACACUGGAACUGAGACACGGUCCAGACUCCUACGGGAGGCAGCAGUAGGGAAUCUUCCGCAAAGGGCGAAAGCCUGACGGAGCAACGCCGCGUGAGUGAUGAAGGUCUUCGGAUCGUAAAACUCUGUUAUUAGGGAAGAACAUAUGUGUAAGUAACUGUGCACAUCUUGACGGCACCUAAUCAGAAAGCCACGGCUAACUACGUG